AACAAUGCUUUGAAAAGAAGAGUACAAAUAGAGAACCAUUUGAAAGAGAGCUUCGGUUGGUGAAAAGAAGCAAUGGGAAAUGUUUGGAAGAUGGUCUUUGAGCAUUCAGCAGUGAGUGAUACCACAAGCAGCUGACGGAGGUGCCCGUUAUCGCAACGCAGUAUCAGCGGACAGCUCGUACUGGCUAAGGUUCCUCCUGUGAAGGUUGGACAAAUGAAGGUGGUAACGCGAAUUCUUUCGCCCUUUUU
RNAcentral lists this non-coding RNA (248 nucleotides) under Enterococcus pallens. Its description in RNAcentral is "T-box sequence". It matches the Rfam family "T-box leader". From Rfam's summary of the family: Uncharged tRNA acts as the effector for transcription antitermination of genes in the T-box leader family. T-boxes are found upstream of many aminoacyl-tRNA synthetase genes and some amino acid biosynthetic genes usually in Gram-positive bacteria. Lineage: Bacteria; Bacillati; Bacillota; Bacilli; Lactobacillales; Enterococcaceae. The record is from RNAcentral.